UACGUAGGGUCCGAGCGUUGUCCGGAAUUAUUGGGCGUAAAGAGCUCGUAGGCGGUCUGUCACGUCGGCUGUGAAAACACGGGGCUCAACUCCGUGCCUGCAGUCGAUACGGGCAGACUAGAGUUCGGUAGGGGAGACUGGAAUUCCUGGUGUAGCGGUGAAAUGCGCAGAUAUCAGGAGGAACACCAAUGGCGAAGGCAGCUCGCUGGGACGGUACUGACGCUGAGACGCGAAAGCGUGGGGAGCAAACAGG
This 253-nucleotide ribosomal RNA is filed under the name uncultured bacterium. Its description in RNAcentral is "partial 16S ribosomal RNA". It matches the Rfam family "Bacterial small subunit ribosomal RNA", at positions 524 to 776 of the family's 1533-position model. The record is from RNAcentral.